AAUGAACGUUGGCGGCGUGGAUUAGGCAUGCAAGUCGAGCGAUGAAGCCGUGCUUGCACGGUGGAUUAGCGGCGAAAGGGAGAGUAACGCGUAGGUAUGUACCCUCGGGUCCGGGAUAGCGGCGGGAAACUGCCGGUAAUACCGGAUAACGUGUCCGCACCAAAGGUGUGAUUCCGCCCGGGGAGCGGCCUGCGUCCUAUUAGGUUGUUGGUGGGGUAAUGGCCUACCAAGCCGAAGAUGGGUACCGGGUGUGAGAGCAUGGCCCGGCUCACUGGGACUGAGACACUGCCCAGACACCUACGGGUGGCUGCAGUCGAGAAUCUUCCGCAAUGGACGCAAGUCUGACGGAGCGACGCCGCGUGCGGGAUGAAGGCCUUCGGGUUGUAAACCGCUGUCAGAGAGGCGGAAAUGCAUAGGGGCUAUCCCCUGUGUUUGACCUAAUCUCAGAGGAAGCGCAGGCUAAGUUCGUG
RNAcentral lists this ribosomal RNA (470 nucleotides) under uncultured bacterium. Its description in RNAcentral is "bacterial SSU rRNA". It matches the Rfam family "Bacterial small subunit ribosomal RNA", at positions 28 to 507 of the family's 1533-position model. The record is from RNAcentral.